UGUGAAAUUGAGAAUCAUGAUAAAAUCCUCAUACCUCCUCCUCUUUUGACCAAAUCUUUCUAAAAUGCACAAUUAUAAUUUCUUAUCUUUAGGAAAAAGUAAUUAUGUUAUAUGUGUUAUAUACACUAUGUAAAUAUAGUUCAUUAAAUCAUUCUUUGGUGUUUGAAGACUUUCUAAUUCAUUACUUCAUUCCAGACAUCAAUGACAACAGCACAUACCGAGCAGGUACACAUAUGAGCUACCUACUAAUAUGCCCUGAUUUUGAUUGUAUUUUGUGAAAACCUUGGUAUGGGUUAUUUUUAAAUGAAUGUUUUCCCAAAUUUUAAGCUGAAACUAGGAUGCAUCAAAAUUAUCUUGGUCAUAAUCUUGUCAAUGAUGUCAUCUAAAGGCCACCAGGAACACACCUGUAGCCCAGCAAAGUUGAGGCCAUCGACUGGCUCAUCACAACAAGGAAGGCUGUGCACCACUGGGACCCAGCAGCAGCUCAGCAGCAGCAGUGAGAGGGCCUUGGGAAAGACUUGGAGGGUUUGGCUUAUACAAGGUGAUCUUGGGGAGGGUCAAGGAAACAGGCUGUGAUGGUUAAUAUUGAGUGUCAACUUGAUUGGAUUGAAGGAUGCAAAGGAUUGUUCCUGGGUGUAUAUGUGAGAGUGUGGCCAAAGGAGAUUAACAUUUUAGUCAGUGGACUGGGAGAGGCACACCCACCCUCAAUCUGGGUGGGCAUCAUCUAAUCAGCUGCCACAGCAGCUAAAAUAAAGCAGGCAGAAGUUGGAAUGAGCAGACUUGCUGAGUGUUCCAGCCUUCAUCUUUCUCCCAUGCUGGAUGCUUCCUGCCCUCGAACAUCAGACUCCAAGUUCUUCAGCUUUUUUUUUUUUUUUUGGACUCUUGGACUUACAGCAUUGGUUUGCCAGGGGCUCCCAGGCCUCUAGCCGCAGACUGAAGGCUGCACUGUGAGCCUCCCUACCUUUGAAGUUUGGGACUCAGACUGGCUUCUUGGCUCCUCAGCUUGCAGUCGGCCUAUUGUGAGACUUCCCCUUGUGAUCAUGUGAGCCAAUUCUCCUGAUAAACUCACCUUCAUAUAUACAUCUAUCCUAUUAGUUCUAUCCGUUUAGAGAACCCUGACUAAUACACAGGCCAUGCUCAGAUGGAGUGCUGUCUGGAAAUGGGAGUAAUUCUGUGGUUGAAUGUCUUAAUUGUCCUGGAAGGUGGGAGAAAUGGAAUGAGGCUGGUGCUACAAUUGAUGUAAAAGCAGCAGCUGCUCACAUAAGCCGGGGUGGAGGAUGCCUAGGCGUAUUUGUGGUAUUGACCAUGUUCUUGUUUUUGUUUGUGACCAGACCAGAUUACAGAGGGGUAUUGAUUUGCCUUGCCCCCGCCCCCACCAUCACAGUGUGUCCCUGUCCAGUGUUGGUGCUGUGUGGCAUUGCUUGUGUCCAUAGGAGUCCAUCAAGGCAGAGCGGCAGAGCGGCAAGCAGAGCGGCAAGGCAGGUCAGCUUCCGGCUCUUCCAGGCUGCAUGUCCCCCUCAAUAUCCUUUCAACCCAAUGGAAAUGGAUUGAAAGAGUGAAAGUCACUGGUCUCAAAGAAUCUACGGAAUUUAGCAUUUUGAAAAUCACAGAGCAAUUUUGGGUAGGUAUUCACAUGCACUAAAAAACCAGGCAAACAUCUGACUCCCAGGAUAAAGUGACUGAGAGCAGUAGAAGACUUGUUGAGCCUUAAGGAAUAAGAGGAAAAUUAUGUUAUGAAGUGCAGGAACAGCACAGACCCAGACGAGGGGAUGCAGCCCGGAGCCAGUAACCCGGCGCCUCCUCCUCCCCAGGGCGCAGCGCUGGCUGCUCCCCGGAUACCGUGAUCACACGUCCCAGGUCCUGAGAGCGCCUCAUAGGUAGACAGUUCUUUGGGACUUUUGGGACGCAGCACUUGAAGAGAGGUUUACCUAAACUUUCCUCCUGGGAGCCUGUCAUCAUUUGAAAGUAACAGAAGAAAGCUGUCAGGCUGAGGAAAGUUUCAACAGGCACUUGGUGAGAAUGGGAAGCAUCCAUUCAUUGGGAAAUCACGGGGACAGAGGAGGAAUUCACGGGAUCAGAGCACUGAGAAACUCCAGAGGCUUCUGGUUCACCGCCCUGAUUCCACAGAUGUGGGUCAGAGGCAGAGAUGGAAGUUGGAAUGGACAAGCCUGCCCUCUCCUCAGCUCUCCAUGGCUCUGUCCUCAGGCUGUUUCUGCAAUUUGACAUGAGGCCUGGCCCCAGGGAAACCAGUGGGGCCUCAUCUCCUCCCUGUGCUGCUCUGAGGUGGAGCCUUCUCAGGGUCAGUCCAGCUCUGGAGCCCCUCUCCAGCUCGGUCACCAAAGCUGUCUGGUCCCAGGGCAGUGUGGAGUGACAGGCACGCCAGCCAAUCCAAUCGGCCAUUUCAUACCCAAUGCAUGUGACUGAUAAAGAGAUAACACCCUGUCUCCAAGACACAGGCUUUACAUAAACAGCUUUAAUGACUUCUUCACUUAGGGACAAGACUCCUUAGUGGUGGAACCUCAGGCAUCCAUGCAGGAUGUAAGAAAGCUCCCGUAUAUACAUGAACUGAGAAGUGUGUAGAAGAGUAAAUACUGUAAUAGGUAAUAAAAUGUAUGUAUUUUU
Molecule: long non-coding RNA, 2622 nt
Organism: Homo sapiens (human)
Lineage: Eukaryota; Metazoa; Chordata; Mammalia; Primates; Hominidae
Product: long intergenic non-protein coding RNA 680
Source: Ensembl